AGAUUGAACGCUGGCGGCAGGCCUAACACAUGCAAGUCGAGCGGUAGAGAGGUGCUUGCAUCUCUUGAGAGCGGCGGACGGGUGAGUAAUGCCUAGGAAUCUGCCUAGUGGUGGGGGAUAACGUUCGGAAACGGACGCUAAUACCGCAUACGUCCUACGGGAGAAAGCGGGGGACCUUCGGGCCUCGCGCCAUUAGAUGAGCCUAGGUCGGAUUAGCUAGUUGGUGAGGUAAUGGCUCACCAAGGCGACGAUCCGUAACUGGUCUGAGAGGAUGAUCAGUCACACUGGAACUGAGACACGGUCCAGACUCCUACGGGAGGCAGCAGUGGGAAUAUUGGACAAUGGGCAAAGCCUGAUCCAGCCGAUGCCGCGUGUGUGAAGAAGGUCUUCGGAUUGUAAAGCACGUUUAAGUGGAGUAAGGCAGUUACCAAGUACGUAUCUGUUUUACGACGUUUAACGACGUAGAAUAACGCAACCGGCUAAACGUCUGUGCCAAGCAACGG
RNAcentral lists this ribosomal RNA (503 nucleotides) under uncultured soil bacterium. RNAcentral describes it as "bacterial SSU rRNA". It matches the Rfam family "Bacterial small subunit ribosomal RNA", at positions 26 to 517 of the family's 1533-position model. The record is from RNAcentral.